This 66-nucleotide transfer RNA is filed under the name Geukensia demissa (ribbed mussel). Its description in RNAcentral is "tRNA-Ala". The record is from RNAcentral. Lineage: Eukaryota; Metazoa; Mollusca; Bivalvia; Mytilida; Mytilidae.
GAUGUGGUACUUUAAUAAAAAGGAUUGAUUUGCAUUUAGUUAUUAGAAUCUGUGUUCUCUACAUUU